RNAcentral lists this long non-coding RNA (832 nucleotides) under Gallus gallus (chicken). The record is from RNAcentral. Lineage: Eukaryota; Metazoa; Chordata; Aves; Galliformes; Phasianidae.
CUGUGUCAGAGGGGAGCGGAUCACUGGAGGACUAGUUCAACAUUUCUGAGGAAGCACGAGGUAAAUGACAGCCAGCAUCAUGCAGCGGGCAGCACUGCAAUCAAUAUUCAUGAGCUGGAGAAGAACUCUGCACUGUUUGGGGGCAGCCUCAGCAGAGGGUCUGUUGCUCGGUAUGUGUGUAAGGUGAGCAAAACAUUCACCUUAGCAGCGAGCUAAUUACUCUUUACUUUUUCCCCCCACAAGAAUCUAAGCCACUGCAUCGAGCCAGCCUUCAGACCCUAUGGGACACUAUGGGACACUAUGGGGCAAGGCAGCAGCUGAAAAGGGAGCGGACAGCACUGGUGUCAGGACAUGCACGGGGAGGAUGUGGGAACCCCCAGGGCUGGGGGCACAAGGAAGGAAAAGCUGCCAGCAAAUGGCAUCUGGAGCUGUGGGCUGCUGCAGUCCCCCUCGGGUGCCAUUUCCUGGGGACGCACACAGUGCUGCUUCCCGAGGAGGAAUGGCCAGAUGCUGCUGCUGCUGAUUUCUCCUUUGACUUCUGAUGGUGCUGGCGUUGCCAAUUUAGUGAAUUGCUUUCUAACGAUUCCCCUGGUGACCGGUGGCAAAACUCCCACAGAUUGCAAGAGGGACAGGGCUGGGCAUUUAAUAACAGCAGCGCUUUUGUGUGUGCUGCAAAGCCCCCGGGAGCCCCAGCGACAGGCCCGGGGCUCAUUAGGAUGGUGCAAACAUAAAGCAAAGAGACAGUCCCUGCCUGGGAAGCUUGUGCCCCCAUUGAUCUGCCACUGUGAGAAAAGGACAUCUCCUACCAAACCUGGCAAUGCUGCUGCACGUG